RNAcentral lists this ribosomal RNA (506 nucleotides) under uncultured bacterium. RNAcentral describes it as "partial 16S ribosomal RNA". It matches the Rfam family "Bacterial small subunit ribosomal RNA", at positions 29 to 523 of the family's 1533-position model. The record is from RNAcentral.
AGUGAACGCUGGCGGUAGGCCUAACACAUGCAAGUCGAACGGCAGCACAGGAGAGCUUGCUCUCUGGGUGGCGAGUGGCGGACGGGUGAGGAAUACAUCGGAAUCUACCUUUUCGUGGGGGAUAACGUAGGGAAACUUACGCUAAUACCGCAUACGACCUACGGGUGAAAGUGGGGGGCCGCAAGGCCUCACGCGAUUAGAUGAGCCGAUGUCCGAUUAGCUAGUUGGCGGGGUAAUGGCCCACCAAGGCGACGAUCGGUAGCUGGUCUGAGAGGAUGAUCAGCCACACUGGAACGGAGACACGGUCCAGACUCCUACGGGAGGCAGCAGUGGGGAAUAUUGGACAAUGGGCGCAAGCCUGAUCCAGCCAUACCGCGUGGGUGAAGAAGGCCUUCGGGUUGUAAAGCCCUUUUGUUGGGAAAGAAAUCCUAUCGGUUAAUAACCGGUGGGGAUGACGGUACCCAAGGAAUAAGCACCGGCUAACUUCGUGCCAGCCGCCGCCGUAA